GGAGGGGCUUUCGCUAGAGCGAGCGGAGGAGGUGCGAAAAAAGGAAGGUAAGGAGGGAGGGGCGACGGGGUUAUUUAUUAUUUUUGGGUUGGGGGUGCGGCUUAAGGAAGCGAGCUAAGCUAAAGGAGCGGUUAAGUGCCCCCGGCGAUCACGGCCCCCGCGCUAGCCGCCACUCUAAGCAGCGGCCCGCCUUUACCAACGGCACCGCCGGCUCCCGGGCUAGGCGCGGCUGCGGCACGGCGGCCGCCGCCGGCCCCGCCCGCGCCUCUCCCGGCUACGCCGCCGGCGCCCUCCGCGGCGCCGCCGGUUCCGGUCCCUCCUGCUCCAGUCCCUCAUGUUCUCACUGCAGUCCUUCGAGCUCCUCGACAAGUUCUUCGACUUGGGGAGGCGCCUCCUCAAGCACGGCGAGAGGGCGGCGGUCCCCCUGCCGCGGGCGGCGGACAGCCGUCUGCGCGGGCAGAAGCAGAGCGGGCGCUAGCUGAUGAUGCGCGGGGUGGUGGGCAAGGUCGUAGUCGUCUACGUGCACGACGUCCACCAGCCACCGCCUCCGCCUCCCCCGUCCCUGAGGUCGUCGCUGCCUAGGCGGUUGCCGGUCGGCUUAGCUGCCUCUUCCUUACCGAAGUUGGUCCCCUCUGCAUCCUACCCUCAAGCCGGGGCCGCUUGACUAUCCCUCCUAUCACAUGCCGCUUGACAGAUACAGAGUCUGUAACUAGUUGUACAGUGACUUGUCUUUGAACGACUCCAAAAGAGUUUGACACCAGUUCACCAUCUAACGGCAUAGACACCACUAGGUUUGAGUCACUACGCAAAACGAAAAUAGCUCAAGCGACUACUACAGCCACGUUCUCGUCGAAAUUGCGAACCACCUUGGUAAGAACCAAAAAUAGGACAGUCUCAAGACGGUAGAUUCUGACGAUAAAACGGACACUUGGGGUUUAAAGAAGGAGCUUGCCUCCUACUCUUUCUUUACCAUAGUUCCUGACACAUGACAUGAUUGUAACUGUUUUUACAAGGUCUCCUACAACACUUCUUAAAGAAACUCCCUUAAACACCCCUCCAACGAGCUGACUCCGACGAGCCACUAAUACACGUACGGUGUACGUAACGGAAACAACUCAAACAAGUCCGUCUUCCUCGUUAAAACCGGGACUUGACGUCACCGUACGAAGAACCGAGCGAAGGACAGUCCCACUCGGGUAGGUUCUGGGGUCACGCAGGGGCAAGCGGAGCACGCUACAGCGUGACUUAGACAGAGAGCAGACUUCGGCCGCAGGUCCCGUCGUUAAGGCCCGUUGUUUGGGGAUCAGCACCGGAAUCUCUGACAACGCAGCGCCUAGUCAUUGACAGCAACUUCUCUCACUCACAAUGGCAAAACCAAUAGAUCCGAUCUUCUUCCGGGAAGGAACGACUAGUCUACUCUCUGGGUAGAGACGGAAGCUGUCCGUAACCUUGGUAUUACAGAUACCGAACAAGAUAAAGCCUGAAGUAAGAGUGACUACAACUACACGCACAUUGUAUUCGAACGACGUGAUACGUACGAUACU
RNAcentral lists this ribosomal RNA (1544 nucleotides) under Triticum aestivum (bread wheat). RNAcentral's name for it is "partial small subunit ribosomal RNA". The record is from RNAcentral. Lineage: Eukaryota; Viridiplantae; Streptophyta; Magnoliopsida; Poales; Poaceae.